ACUCCUACGGGAGGCAGCAGUGGGGAAUAUUGCACAAUGGGCGCAAGCCUGAUGCAGCCAUGCCGCGUGUAUGAAGAAGGCCUUCGGGUUGUAAAGUACUUUCAGCGGGGAGGAAGGCAAUACGGUUAAUAACCGUGUUGAUUGACGUUACCCGCAGAAGAAGCACCGGCUAACUCCGUGCCAGCAGCCGCGGUAAUACGGAGGGUGCAAGCGUUAAUCGGAAUUACUGGGCGUAAAGCGCACGCAGGCGGUCUGUCAAGUCGGAUGUGAAAUCCCCGGGCUCAACCUGGGAACUGCAUUCGAAACUGGCAGGCUUGAGUCUUGUAGAGGGGGGUAGAAUUCCAGGUGUAGCGGUGAAAUGCGUAGAGAUCUGGAGGAAUACCGGUGGCGAAGGCGGCCCCCUGGACAAAGACUGACGCUCAGGUGCGAAAGCGUGGGGAGCAAACAGGAUUAGAAACCCUAGUAGUCC
Molecule: ribosomal RNA, 469 nt
Filed under: uncultured organism
Description: partial 16S ribosomal RNA
Rfam family: Bacterial small subunit ribosomal RNA
Source: RNAcentral